This 377-nucleotide transfer-messenger RNA is filed under the name Burkholderiales. Its description in RNAcentral is "Comamonas sp021044865 Standard tmRNA". It matches the Rfam family "transfer-messenger RNA". Rfam says of the family: Bacterial tmRNA, also known as 10Sa RNA or SsrA, is named for its dual tRNA and mRNA-like properties. Its role is to liberate the mRNA from a stalled ribosome. RNAcentral also lists the same sequence under 1 other name. The record is from RNAcentral. Lineage: Bacteria; Pseudomonadati; Pseudomonadota; Betaproteobacteria.
GGGGCUGUCCUGGUUUCGACGUAGGUUCGGAGCCGGUGUGGUGCAUGUCGAGCUUGAAUGAUGCUCGUAAAUCUCCGUUCAAAAAACUAACUGCAAACGACGAACGUUUCGCACUCGCCGCUUAAUCCGGUGAGCUUUGCAACAGCACGUUGAUGGGCUGGGCAAGGGGGUCGCAAGACCUCCAGGCUGCAAAGGAAUUUUCAUCAACUGGUUCCGUGCCGGGUACCUUGGUAUGGAACGAGAAAAUAGGGUACUGGCUUCGUUCACAGCGUGCGCCUACGCGGUGAUUGAGGCGAGAUUUAAAUUAGAGCGCUAAACAUGUAGAUCUGCCCGGUAAAGGCUUGCGGACGCGGGUUCAAUUCCCGCCAGCUCCACCA